This 468-nucleotide ribosomal RNA is filed under the name uncultured bacterium. RNAcentral's name for it is "partial 16S ribosomal RNA". It matches the Rfam family "Bacterial small subunit ribosomal RNA", at positions 28 to 507 of the family's 1533-position model. The record is from RNAcentral.
GACGAACGCUGGCGGCGUGCUUAAUACAUGCAAGUCGAACGGACAGGCCCUGCUUUUGUGGGGUGCUCGAGUGGCGAACGGGUGAGUAACACGUGAGUAACCUGCCCUUGACUUUGGGAUAACUUCAGGAAACUGGGGCUAAUACCGGAUAGGAGCUCCUGCUGCAUGGUGGGGGUUGGAAAGUUUCGGCGGUUGGGGAUGGACUCGCGGCUUAUCCGCUUGUUGGUGGGGUAGUGGCUUACCAAGGCUUUGACGGGUAGCCGGCCUGGGAGGGUGACCGGCCACAAUGGGACUGAGGUACGGCCCAGACUCCUACGGGAGGCAGCAGGGGGGAGUAUUGCACAGUGGGCGGAAGCCUGAGGCAGCAACGCCGCGUGCGGGAUGACGGCCUUCGGGUGGUAAACCGCUUUCGCCUGUGACGAAGCGUGAGUGACGGUAAUGGGUAAAGAAGCACCGGCUAACUACGUG